RNAcentral lists this ribosomal RNA (116 nucleotides) under Bacteroidetes/Chlorobi group bacterium MS-B_bin-24. Lineage: Bacteria; Pseudomonadati. The record is from RNAcentral.
GUCGGUGGCGAUACUGCGGGGGAAACACCUCUUCCCAUUCCGAACAGAGAAGUUAAGCCCCGCAAGGCCAAUGGUACUGCCGGGUUCCCCGGUGGGAGAGUAGGUAGCUGCCGACC